This 132-nucleotide small RNA is filed under the name Citrobacter koseri. RNAcentral's name for it is "RtT sRNA". It matches the Rfam family "RtT RNA". Rfam says of the family: This family represents a bacterial cis-regulatory element known as RtT RNA. The exact function of RtT is unknown although it is thought that it may be involved in changing the cellular response in relation to amino acid starvation. The record is from RNAcentral. RNAcentral also lists the same sequence under 6 other names. Lineage: Bacteria; Pseudomonadati; Pseudomonadota; Gammaproteobacteria; Enterobacterales; Enterobacteriaceae.
AUUCUGCCCUCACGGGGAAGGAUGAGAAGCUUCGACUAAGGUUCGAUUCGAGCGGAAGCGAGAAAGCGUUGCCGAAGGCAACGACCCGAAGGGCGAGGCGCAACGCGCCGAGUAAUCCUUCCCCCACCACCA